Non-coding RNA from Sorex araneus (European shrew), 406 nucleotides. The record is from the annotation of a RefSeq genome assembly. NCBI's taxonomy places the organism in Eukaryota, Metazoa, Chordata, Mammalia, Eulipotyphla, Soricidae.
UCUCAGAUCAACUCUCAAAAUGAGGUUACCUGCUCAGUUUCUGGGUCUGCUGAUGUUCUGCAUCCCAGGAUCCAGCAGUGACAUUGUGCUGACCCAGAGUCCACUCUCCCUGUCCAUCGUCAAGGGAGAGCCAACCUCCAUCUCCUGCACGUCUAGUGAGAGCCUCCUAUAUAGUGAUGGAACAACUUAUUUGUAUUGGUUCCAUCAGAAGCCAGGCCAUCCUCCAAAGCGCCUGUUUUAUCAUGUUUCUAAAAGAGACCCUGGGGUCCCAGACAGGUUCAGUAGCAGUGGGUCAGAGACAAAAUUCACUCUUCAGAUUAGCAGUGUGGAGCCUGAGGAUGUUGGCGUUUACUACUGCUUCCAAGGUACAAAGACUCCUCACACAGUGAUACAGCCCCGAACAUAA